Molecule: ribosomal RNA, 504 nt
Filed under: Triticum aestivum (bread wheat)
Lineage: Eukaryota; Viridiplantae; Streptophyta; Magnoliopsida; Poales; Poaceae
Description: partial small subunit ribosomal RNA
Source: RNAcentral
AUGCGGAGCUCGCCGCAGUCAAGGGGUCUGACCGCUGCUGCCGCGAGACCUUCCUGCCCCGCCGAUGCGAGCAUCUCUCCCUUUCACCUGCCCUCGAAGCUACCCCUCUGGCUGCUGCAUGUACAGAGGCAUCACGCACUCCCCGUGGCUCGCCGGAAUCCCCCUCGAGGCAUUGCUGCAAGCAGGGGGCGCCGGUGGCCAUGGGCUGCAGUGAGGACGAUGGGCGCGCACCUUUUUAAUGGCCAGGUGUUGAUUUUUGCUGCGACAUUCGUCGGAUUUUGCUGGAACCAACGACAAGUUUUGCUGGAACCGGCCAUGGAAUUUUUGGCAACCGUUGUCCGAGGAAGCUACCACCAGCUUCUAAAAAAGCUUCAAAACAGAGGGGAAGAUGUGGGGCAGCCACCGCACAAACUGAAAAGCUUCAACCGGCUGCAAGAUAGCUACAACAGGUCUUAUGAGAAGCUUCAACCGAGGAACGACGAGAUGACUUGCGACGGCGGCUAG